Molecule: unclassified non-coding RNA, 509 nt
Filed under: Hevea brasiliensis (rubber tree)
Lineage: Eukaryota; Viridiplantae; Streptophyta; Magnoliopsida; Malpighiales; Euphorbiaceae
Source: RNAcentral
AGGUCCGAAAGAUCGAGGCUGCCGUCAGGCAACCCGCGAGUGCCGACACAGACGAAGGCGACAUCAGCUUCUGCGAUUUCAUUCAAACCGGUUGCUAUUGACAGGCGCCCCUGCGAGUGGCUCCCCNNNNNNNNNNNCUCGCUAACCUGCGGCUCUCGAAAUGGUAUGAGCCCGCGCCCCAGGAGAUCGCAGAUCUCAGCAUCGCUAUCCAUUCCAAUAACAGUAUGCCCGUCCCGCAGGAGACCAGCGGCGGUCACGAUCCCGACAUGCCCAAGACCACAAAUAACAACACGCAUUAGAUGCCUUCGUACGAACUAUUCGUUGGGAAGUUUCUUGAGUAUCGCCGGCGUCUGCUGCCGGUUCAGAGCAAUUAUGUUUGUAUUCUAGAUGUUUNNNNNNNNNNNNGCCCAAAUAAUCGCUUCCGGAAUGGACUGGCGCCGCACAGAUGCCGAUGGAUCGAAAGAGGCCCUUUUGAACACCUUCGACCAUGAGGUGAGAAGCAGCGUUAU